This 253-nucleotide ribosomal RNA is filed under the name uncultured bacterium. RNAcentral describes it as "partial 16S ribosomal RNA". It matches the Rfam family "Bacterial small subunit ribosomal RNA", at positions 524 to 776 of the family's 1533-position model. The record is from RNAcentral.
UACGAAGGGGGCUAGCGUUGUUCGGAAUUACUGGGCGUAAAGCGCACGUAGGCGGAUCGAUCAGUCAGGGGUGAAAUCCCAGAGCUCAACUCUGGAACUGCCUUUGAUACUGUCGAUCUGGAGUAUGGAAGAGGUGAGUGGAAUUCCGAGUGUAGAGGUGAAAUUCGUAGAUAUUCGGAGGAACACCAGUGGCGAAGGCGGCUCACUGGUCCAUUACUGACGCUGAGGUGCGGAAGCGUGGGGAGCAAACAGG